AUUGAACGCUGGCGGCAGGCCUAACACAUGCAAGUCGAGCGAGCUGCGGACGGGUGAGUAAUGUAUGGGAAUCUGCCCGAUAGAGGGGGAUAACUACUGGAAACGGUGGCUAAUACCGCAUACCAACGGAUGACCCCCUAUGGGAUUCGCUAGUAGGUGGGGUAAAGGCUGACCCAGGCGACGAUCUCUAGCUGGUCUGAGAGGAUGAUCAGCCACACUGGGACUGAGGAACGGCCCAGACUCCUACGGUGGGAAGCAGUGGGGAAUAUUGCACGAUGGGCGCAAGCCUGAUGCAGCCAUGCCGCGUGUAUGAAGAAGGCCUUAGGGUUGUAAAGUACUUUCAGCAGGGAGGCGUUACCCGCAGAAGAAGCACCGGCUAACUCCGGGCCAGCAGCCGCGGUAAUAC
Molecule: ribosomal RNA, 406 nt
Filed under: uncultured bacterium
Lineage: Bacteria
Description: partial 16S ribosomal RNA
Rfam family: Bacterial small subunit ribosomal RNA
Source: RNAcentral